CCUACGGGGGGCAGCAGUGGGGAAUAUUGCGCAAUGGGCGAAAGCCUGACGCAGCGACGCCGCGUGAGUGAUGAAGGUCUUCGGAUUGUAAACCUCUUUCAGCAGGGAAGAACGGUCACUGUGCUAAUCAGCAGUGAAUUGACGGUACCUGCAAAGGAAGCACCGGCUAACUCCGUGCCAGCAGCCGCGGUAAUACGGAGGGUGCGAGCGUUAAUCGGAAUUACUGGGCGUAAAGCGCUCGUAGGCGGUAUGUCAAGUCAAGGGUGAAAUCCCCGCGCUCAACGUGGGAACUGCCUUUGAAACUGGCAAGCUGGAGUGUGUGAGAGGGUGGUAGAAUUCCAGGUGUAGGGGUGAAAUGCGUAGAUAUCUGGAGGAACAUCAGUGGCGAAGGCGACUAUCUGGCAGAUAACUGACGCUGAGGAGCGAAAGCGUGGGUAGCAAACAGGAUUAGAUACCCUAGUAGUC
This 465-nucleotide ribosomal RNA is filed under the name uncultured bacterium. RNAcentral describes it as "partial 16S ribosomal RNA". It matches the Rfam family "Bacterial small subunit ribosomal RNA", at positions 338 to 795 of the family's 1533-position model. The record is from RNAcentral.